UACGUAGGGGGCUAGCGUUGUCCGGAAUCAUUGGGCGUAAAGCGCGUGUAGGCGGUCCGGUAAGUCCGCUGUGAAAGUCGGGGGCUCAACCCUCGAAUGCCGGUGGAUACUGGCGAGCUAGAGCACGGUAGGGGCAGAUGGAAUUCCCGGUGUAGCGGUGGAAUGCGUAGAGAUCGGGAAGAAUACCAGUGGCGAAGGCGUUCUGCUGGGCCGUUGCUGACACUGAGGCGCGACAGCGUGGGGAGCAAACAGG
Molecule: ribosomal RNA, 253 nt
Filed under: uncultured prokaryote
Description: partial 16S ribosomal RNA
Rfam family: Bacterial small subunit ribosomal RNA
Source: RNAcentral